Non-coding RNA from Caretta caretta (loggerhead turtle), 2096 nucleotides. NCBI's taxonomy places the organism in Eukaryota, Metazoa, Chordata, Testudines, Cheloniidae. The record is from RefSeq and is a predicted model, not a curated record.
CAGGCUGCUGUCCCAGAUGGGAUGCUGGGCUCGAGGUCCAAUCCACUCUAGCAAGUCCUUUGUUCUUAUUUUGGAGGUGAGAUUUACUCAGCAGAGACGAUGCGUAUCCCAUGGAUCUCAGGCAGAAGCAACCAGUGAGAGAGCAGCAUCUUUUUGAGGCUCGUAAAUUGGGGACAGCUUACAUGAUGGUCCUACAUAGAGCCCCAUCAGUUCAGUGCCUAUGAAUUCAUGAUGCAGACUAAGACCUUGUUGGGAACACUGGGGCAUGGCCACUAGGUAACUCGAGGGGAUGGAAGACCAUGAGUGUCGAUGAAGCCCCCUCGCACUAGGCCCCGGUGUCCUUCCCCCCCCCCCCCCCCGCCUGGAGGCACUCGCAGCAGCUCUGUGUGCUAGGCCCAAGUGUCCUUGGCCCCCCCAGCCUGGAGGCACACACAGCAGUUAUGCUGAGAAUCUGCAACAGUAUGUUGCAGAGUCAGACUGCCUGAAACUAAGCAAGGCCAAACAGGACAGAGAUGGAAGAACAAGGCUGAAUAAAGCAGCUUUAUGUAUAGUUUAACAAAUGAUACAGAGAAUCAGGGAACUAGCUGGGAACUGGAUUGGCUGGCUAUAUGGAUACUUGGAGCAGCUUGCUAUUGGAUAAGUAUGCUGGGAAAAAGGAUGUAUAAAAGCCUGUGUAACUUCCUGCUCUGUUGUACAGGAUUUGAGAUUCAAAUCUCCCUGUACCUUUUUGAAGCUUCAAAUAAACUUUUCUGCUUCUCCACCCCGUUGUGAUUAUUGGGUGUAGCACACCGGGUAACGAACCAACUCAAGCUGUUGUUCAGCCUCUCGGCACUGGGUGCCGGCAACAGCUUUUGGCGUCCCUGGGUGGGCGACGAGGCUGCAAUUUAGCCUUGCCCGGACCCCUCCUGGAGGUCGAGGAUUGCGGCGAGAACCAACGCCCCGCGCGCACCGGUGAGUUCAUCGGGGGCCUCGGAGGAGACGCGAUUUAAUCGACCCCAGAGGGCACAACGGUGCAACGCACUCAUAUAGUGGAGAAGCUGUUGUGGACGGCGGUGAAGAACCGGUCCCUUAGACGUGGGGGAGGAGCAGCUGCAGGCCACAGUGAAGAACCGGACCCUUGGAUAAGGCCCACUCCUUUCCGAACGCCCAGUGAUGCUCCUGGUGAGGAUGAAGAUAAAGGAGCACAUCACUGGGACUAAGAGGCACUUGCAAGGAGAGCAGCAGAUCAUGCAGAUCACCAAGGUUGGCAGUGCUGGUUGGGCUCAUGCUGUGUGACGGGUCCUCAGGGCUGACAGCUGCAGUACACCAGAGAAUUUUUCAGAGGGUCUCUGCUCUCAGAUACUGUUCAGACCUGGACAUGCGAACCCUGGGGUGGGAAAAUAAAACUGAGCUCACUUGCUAAGGGAUGCAAUGCACAGAGGAUCACCCAUCCUCUGAAAGGAAGCAUGUGCAAAGGAAUGCAUACAGGAGAGUGUACAGCUGCAUGUGUUUCAAGGAUCACAGGAUCUUCUCCUUCCCAGAGGCUAGCGAAGAUUAGAAGGUGAAAAAAACGCACUCGUGAUGAAAUGUUCUCUGAGCUCAUGCUGUCCUCCCACACUGACAGAGCACAGACGAAUGCGUGGAGGCAGAUAAUGUCAGAGUGCAGGAAAGCACAAAAUAACCGGGAGAAGAGGUGGCGGGCUGAAGAGAGUAAGUGGCGGGCUGAAGACAGGGCUGAAGCUGAAAGGUGGUGGCAGCGUGAUGAGAGGAGGCAGGAUUCAAUGCUGAGACUGCUGGAGGAUCAAACCAAUAUGCUCCACCGUAUGGUUGAGCUGCAGGAAAGGCAGCAGGAGCACAGACCGCUGCUACAGCCCCUGUGUAACCAACCGCCCUCCUCCCCAAGUUCCAUAGCCUCCUCACCCAGAUGCCUAAGAAUGCAGUGGGGGGGCCUCCAGCCACCCAGCCACUCCACCCCAGAGGAUUGCCCAAGCAACAGAAGGCUGGCAUUCAAUAAGUUUUAAACUGCUGUGUGGCCUUGUCCUUCCCUCCUCCACCACCCCUCCUGGUGCUUCUCUCCUCCACCCCCCUCCCGGGCUACCUUGGUAGUUAUCCCCCUA